Molecule: long non-coding RNA, 1445 nt
Organism: Cyprinus carpio (common carp)
Lineage: Eukaryota; Metazoa; Chordata; Actinopteri; Cypriniformes; Cyprinidae
Exons: 3
Source: RefSeq, a predicted model, not a curated record
AACGCGCUCUAUCUCCCGCUUUAAUCAGGAAAACAUCCGCGAGCGUUUGUGCAGCGGAAAUGGACCGUGACUUCUGAUGGCGGGAAGAUGGAUAAGGGCGCAUCGUCACCAAUUGAUGCUUUCGCGCCCAGCGUGAAGGGAUGAGUCGCUAAUUACCGUCUGCGGUGAUCACCCACUGGAUGACAACAACACCUGCAGGAGCACCGCGGAUCAUCUGCCCUCUAGUGCCCAGUACACAUGCUGCUGUUCCUGCAGCUCCGCGGCGGCCAAUGCGCGCUCACAAACUGCGCUCUGAUCAUCAGAAGCGACCCGGGGGCUAGUGUCACUUUUUACUCCUGUAAAUAUUUCCCAUUCCCAAGGUGCGUGCCGUGCGCUGGAAACACACUCAUGAGCUAAUUCAAGGCAAAGUAAAGCUCUCAUCUGGGAUUGGUAAGAGUCUCUCCAAGCACCCCGAAGACUUCCAGCUCAUUCUUGAUUGCACAUGGCAGCCUCUGACCUGCACCGAAGGCACCCGCUGCCAUGGAAGAUUGAUGAUUAUCGAUGCAGAAACCCUUUGCUAAUUCAGCGUACAAGGCACUGCCUUCUCUGAAGAAGAAGAAAAAACCCAGCCAUGUUGAAGUGGGGAGUUGAAUUAUACACAAAAGUUAUUUUAAGUCAAUGAUCAAUCAGAUCUCUAGCUGCAACUGGACAUUAUCAAGUCCUCAGUAUCACGCCGUGCUCAGAGAAUUUACAGAGAAUGAUGGGACUGAUCAGAGGUAGUGUUGGGAGGCCUUGACCUUUGUCUCCUUUUAUAAACCAUGGAGGAAGUUGCGCUUGAUCCCAGUGUUUUUCAGCACCUGCAAAAUGUCAACCUGUUUAGAUUUGAAGCAGAGACACUGAUAGGACCAUCUGGACCUUCACUCAUGACGUCCAGCCAUGGUCUGUCUUCAUGGUCUGCACACCCUGAAAAUGGAUCAGCCAAGACCUCAUUUGUAACUUUUUGACAAGCACAAGUUGAAAGCCCCACUUAAAAAAAGAAGAAGUAGAAGAAGAAGAAGAAGAAGAAGAAGAAAAGAAUCAAACACUGCCUAUAGCUAAAUUGAUUCAAAACUCAUCCACCAUGUAGUAAAAAGAUACUCGCCUGCUGUAAAUAUUAUUUUGGGGAUUUUUUCCACUUGUCAAAACAAAGAUCUGCAAUUGCUAUUAAGCUUAAUCUUCAGUUGAUUGUCUUAAACACAUUAACACAUUCUUGAAUCCUACUCUCAUCUGGAAAAACACCUCUCAGUAAAAGUGUGUCCAUUCCAACUGCAGGCUUUUUUUGUCACUUGGAUUUUACUGUUUUAUUUCUACAAAAUUAAACAUUUAUUCUUACACUCUUAAAAAUUAAGUUUCCUAAAGAGGCUUUUCAAAGCGGUGCCAUAGAAAAACCAUUUUGAGUUUUCCAAAGAAUCUUCCAGUGAACAGUU